CUGUUUACAAUUUACACAUCUAUUUUUAUCCAUUUCUCUGCAGCAUGUGUAAGUAAGCCUGGCUGCUAUUUCGAUACCCAGUUUCACUCUGGAAUUCCCAAUGCUGAUCUAUAUCACAUCUAAUCUCUGAGACAUGAUAAAUUAAAGCUAUCUUUCUGAUCAUCGAGGAGAGCAUCUGAAAUCAUUUCUGGAACAAUAUGGAAUGGAGGAAGAAGAUUAGCAAGGCUUUCAGCAAGCUUGGUAGUCACUGCACUAGAACUUUGGGCUGAGUACAAACUUCCAAUGACUGAACAUAUCAGCUAAGGCCCUGCCAACAGCCAUGACCUUCAGAAGUAAUCAGGAGAAAGAAAGGCCAUGUAACAAGCAAGAUGGUGGAGUGGUUGAUUUUUGGAACCCCAAAAAACUUCAGAAAAAAGGUCUGAGAAGAAGUACUAAUCACCACCUGACCUGGCCUUUGGUUUGUGAUUUCUUGGCUCCCAGAGACCCUAUUUCUCUUCCAUGGAUGUAUAAACACAGGCUACUCUCUCCUUCACUGACUGAAAGAGGAAGUAUGCUCAGUUUCUCUUGACAUCCAGGGCUCUCUGAUACCCUUUAGGGGAUCUGAGAAUCUGACUCUGUCACUGUCUCUAGCCACACACACACCCCAUGUUCCCACAAUUUAUGGGUAGUCCCUUGCAUCUCAAGUCCAUUUAGGUAAUAAUAGCUGGAUUAGCUUUUACACAGAAAUGCUGACUUCAAAAUGCACCAUCACAAAUA
This 756-nucleotide long non-coding RNA is filed under the name Monodelphis domestica (gray short-tailed opossum). RNAcentral describes it as "lncRNA (ENSMODG00000048665.1)". The record is from RNAcentral. Lineage: Eukaryota; Metazoa; Chordata; Mammalia; Didelphimorphia; Didelphidae.